This 465-nucleotide ribosomal RNA is filed under the name uncultured Klebsiella sp. RNAcentral describes it as "bacterial SSU rRNA". It matches the Rfam family "Bacterial small subunit ribosomal RNA", at positions 338 to 795 of the family's 1533-position model. The record is from RNAcentral. Lineage: Bacteria; Pseudomonadati; Pseudomonadota; Gammaproteobacteria; Enterobacterales; Enterobacteriaceae.
CCUACGGGGGGCUGCAGUGGGGAAUAUUGCACAAUGGGCGCAAGCCUGAUGCAGCCAUGCCGCGUGUGUGAAGAAGGCCUUCGGGUUGUAAAGCACUUUCAGCGGGGAGGAAGGCGUUAAGGUUAAUAACCUUGGCGAUUGACGUUACCCGCAGAAGAAGCACCGGCUAACUCCGUGCCAGCAGCCGCGGUAAUACGGAGGGUGCAAGCGUUAAUCGGAAUUACUGGGCGUAAAGCGCACGCAGGCGGUCUGUCAAGUCGGAUGUGAAAUCCCCGGGCUCAACCUGGGAACUGCAUUCGAAACUGGCAGGCUAGAGUCUUGUAGAGGGGGGUAGAAUUCCAGGUGUAGCGGUGAAAUGCGUAGAGAUCUGGAGGAAUACCGGUGGCGAAGGCGGCCCCCUGGACAAAGACUGACGCUCAGGAGCGAAAGCGUGGGGAGCAAACAGGAUUAGAUACCCUUGUAGUC